Molecule: long non-coding RNA, 921 nt
Filed under: Pectinophora gossypiella (pink bollworm)
Lineage: Eukaryota; Metazoa; Arthropoda; Insecta; Lepidoptera; Gelechiidae
Description: uncharacterized LOC126380673
Source: RNAcentral
UAUUUAGGUUUUGGAUCAAACAAGUCGAUCGAUUGUUGUCGUUGAUUCGGCGAAUUUAUGGUUUGGUAGAUUUUUUCUAGUUUGGCAACUUUGUUCGUGGUUCUUGUGUCAGACUGACAGCUGGCUGAGCUGAGAGACAGGUUAUGGAAAGUGGGGACGUCGCGAGAGCGCCGGAGACUCCACUGCCGUAACAAUAAUGUGGGCAAAUUAAAAGCCACGAUUUAUCGGCGACAUCAAGAGCCGAUGUCUCGAUUUAAACAAAUAACUUAACCGAGAUGCAACAUCACUGAAAUCCCAUCGCCGAAGGUCCAGUGGGUGGGUUUAGGUUUCAUCCGAGCGAUGCCCAACUAUCCCGGAUGAACCUAUGGGGUUUUUUUUUCUUUAAGUUUUAAUGUUUUAACGUUUUUGCAAGUUUAAUUUUCUAACGUUUUGCAAGUUUUAAUCUAAGAAGAAGUUUAUGAUUGGAUCAGACUAUUUCAACAAAUUUUGUGAAUGAAGAUUGCUACUGUUUUCUUCUGCGUUUGCAAGUUAUUUCAAGCUUCAUUUCGGCGGAGCUUGCCUUGGUUGUUUGCACGUCGAAGCUUCCCUUUGUGCGGCGCGCAUGUGGAUGUGCCGCGCCUCUCCUUUUGUCAACACACCGGAUAAGGCCCGGUGAAGGACUGCGAGGUUGACCGGUGGACGUGCAGCCCGCCAGCUGCGUAACAGUUGGCCCGCUGCGCCGCCAUCGUCCAGCACGCCUGGCCUGAGCCGGCCUCAACGCAUCACCUGUAUGGUAUUCCGGAACGCCUCAGGUAGGCCUGAUAGUCGGAGGUCCUCGAGUAAGUGAGGUGCCUACAGGUGUACGGACAGUGUUUUAAAUCUAGUGAUAUCCCAUGGUUGUUACGGAGUGACAAUUAACCUGACGGACCAAAGCGCGACCUG